RNAcentral lists this ribosomal RNA (497 nucleotides) under uncultured bacterium. Its description in RNAcentral is "partial 16S ribosomal RNA". It matches the Rfam family "Bacterial small subunit ribosomal RNA", at positions 28 to 507 of the family's 1533-position model. The record is from RNAcentral.
GAUGAACGCUGGCGGCAUGCCUAAUACAUGCAAGUCGAACGAAAGCACGAUAAGCUCUCUCCCCUGAUGUUGGCGGCGGGCGGGCGGGUAACACGUGCAUCACCAUCUACUUUUACUUGGAUGAUAACGUAAAGCAACAGCCACUACUACCGCAUAUGUUCUACCGCAUAGAUCAAAAGAUCAUCACGCUCUUGCCGUCUCUAUGAGAUGGAUUCGCGCUGCAUUAGCUAGUUGGUAAGGUAACGGCAUACCAAGGCGACGAUGCGUAGCUGACCUGAGAGGAUGAUCGGCCACACUGGAACUGAGACACGGUCCAGACUCCUACGGGAGGCAGCAGUAGGGAAUCUUCCGCAAUGGGCGAAAGCCUGACGGAGCAACGCCGCGUGAGUGAUGAAGGUCUUCGGGUCGUAAAGCCCUGUUAUUAGGAAAGAACAUAUGUGUAAGUAACUGUGCACAUCUUGACGGUACCUAAUGAGAAAGCCACGGCUAACUACGUG